AUUCCGGUUGAUCCUGCCGGAGGACAUUGCUAUUGGGAUUCGAUUUAGCCAUGCUAGUCGAGUGAGUUCAGACUCGCGGCGAAUAGCUCAGUAACACGUGGCCAAGCUCCCCUUCAGUCAGCGAUACCCUCGGGAAACUGAGGUUAACAGCUGAUACAAAACGCCAGCUGGAAUGCGGCGUUUCAGAAAGACAUCGCUGAAGGAUGCGGCUGCGGCCGAUUAGGUAGACGGUGGGGUAACGGCCCACCGUGCCAGUAAUCGGUACGGGUGAUGAGAGUCAGAGCCCGGAGACGGAAUCUGAGACAAGAUUCCGGGCCCUACGGGGCGCAGCAGGCGCGAAACCUUUACACUGCACGGAAGUGCGAUAGGGGAAUCCCAAGUGCGAGGGCAUAUUAGCCCUCGCUUUUCUCGACUGUAAGGUGGUCGACGAAUAAGAGCUGGGCAAGACCGGUGCCAGCCGCCGCGGUAAUACCGGCAGCUCAAGUGAUGC
RNAcentral lists this ribosomal RNA (490 nucleotides) under uncultured haloarchaeon. RNAcentral describes it as "bacterial SSU rRNA". It matches the Rfam family "Archaeal small subunit ribosomal RNA", at positions 1 to 494 of the family's 1478-position model. The record is from RNAcentral. Lineage: Archaea; Methanobacteriati; Methanobacteriota; Halobacteria; Halobacteriales; Halobacteriaceae.